Molecule: transfer RNA, 67 nt
Filed under: Callionymus olidus
Lineage: Eukaryota; Metazoa; Chordata; Actinopteri; Syngnathiformes; Callionymidae
Description: tRNA-Tyr
Rfam family: tRNA
About the family: Transfer RNA (tRNA) molecules are approximately 80 nucleotides in length. Their secondary structure includes four short double-helical elements and three loops (D, anti-codon, and T loops).
Source: RNAcentral
GGUAAGGUGGCUGAGUAAGCGGUGGAUUGUAAAUCCACACACAGGGGUUGCAGUCCCCUUCUUGCCA